UUCUUGACAGUCCAGUGGUUAGGACUCUGCACUUUCACUGCUGUGAAUCUGGGUUCAAUCCCUGUUUGGGGA
This 72-nucleotide transfer RNA is filed under the name Ovis aries (sheep). It matches the Rfam family "tRNA". From Rfam's summary of the family: Transfer RNA (tRNA) molecules are approximately 80 nucleotides in length. Their secondary structure includes four short double-helical elements and three loops (D, anti-codon, and T loops). The record is from Rfam by way of RNAcentral. Lineage: Eukaryota; Metazoa; Chordata; Mammalia; Artiodactyla; Bovidae.